UAGGGAAUCUUCCGCAAUGGACGAAAGUCUGACGGAGCAACGCCGCGUGAGUGAAGAAGGAUUUCGGUUCGUAAAACUCUGUUGUUAGGGAAGAAAAAAUGUAUAGUAACUAUAUACAAAAGAGACGGUACCUAACCAGAAAGCCACGGCUAACUACGUGCCAGCAGCCGCGGUAAUACGUAGGUGGCAAGCGUUGUCCGGAAUUAUUGGGCGUAAAGCGCGCGCAGGUGGUUUAGAAAGUCUGAUGUGAAAGCCCACGGCUCAACCGUGGAGGGUCAUUGGAAACUAAUAAACUUGAGUGCAGGAGAGAAAGGUGGAAUUCCUAGUGUAGCGGUGAAAUGCGUAGAGAUUAGGAGGAACACCGGUGGCGAAAGCGGCUUUUUGGCCUGCAACUGACACUGAGGCGCGAAAGCGUGGGGAGCAAACAGG
RNAcentral lists this ribosomal RNA (429 nucleotides) under Verrucomicrobiota bacterium. RNAcentral's name for it is "Verrucomicrobia bacterium partial 16S ribosomal RNA". It matches the Rfam family "Bacterial small subunit ribosomal RNA", at positions 355 to 776 of the family's 1533-position model. The record is from RNAcentral. Lineage: Bacteria; Pseudomonadati; Verrucomicrobiota.